CACCCUCUUCUCCCUCACACCUCCUGCUGCCAUAACCCAACCCAAACCUCACCAUAAAUGAACCCUCAUGGUCCCCCCUCCUAUCCUUUCUCUCUUCCACAUCAUCAAGACCAUAACGACCUCUGUCAGAAGAAGAUAUUCCAUUUUACCCGUUUCCACGCGCUCUUGCUUCCCUUGGAUAGAAUUCGGAUUAAUGGUAGACGUAGGAUUUGAAGACUUUAAAUACUAGUCUUCCAUUUGUCUUAGAACCAUCCAGAAAGAAGAACAUGAGGGGAUUUUCGUUUGGGGGCAGGGAAUUUUCGGAAUUUAUUGAAGGGAAAAUUCGAGUUUUUAGGGGGAUUUCUUGUUGAAGAAGGAGAAGCUUCGAGAGGGAGCUAUAUAUUUGGGUCUGGACAGAGAUGGGUUUUUUUUUCUUUCGGAGAAAAAUUGGUAAAAGAAGAAGGGCGAGGGUUUUCUGAUUUUCAUGUUCUUCUUUCCAAUUUUCACUUCAUUGGCGUACAAAAAGCUUAGAGCUCUCUAUUAGUUUUUCUUUUGAUUUUCAAAAUAGAAAAUACAAAAAAAUAUAUAUCAGCUUCUGAUUUGUUUAACAAGAAAUUGAGUUUAGCUGAGGUCCGUCAACUGCUCGAGAGAUAUUUAUUCGUGGUUCCUGCCGCUGCUGUGUCGCUGGUUCGAUUCCUGUUUGUCUGCUGCUGUUACUUCAAAUUUCAGUGCCGAGUUCACUUGUAUUCAAUUUCAAAAGAACUUAAUUGAAGAAUUUUGCAAUGUUAGGUUCACCUCUCUCCUUCAUAUUCUUGUUAAUGGUGAUUGAGACAUGAUAAGAGCCGUAGGUCUGUCAAAUUUGGAAAGUGUUUGAGUCGACUUAGAAAAGGGAUGGGUUAAGGGAUGAUUUGCGCGAACAUGUAUGGGAGUUAUACUUAAAUGUUCUGGAAUGCCUUUUGGCUCGAAUUAUUUGCCUUGUGACCUGAAUGAUUGAUGUCCAAUCGAUUGUGAAAUGGUGCAGUUUAAUAUGUGUUCAUGCUUGUCUCGAUCGCUUUCAUUGAAUACUCGGGUUGCUUGUUUUGUUAUGUGAAUUAGCAUAUGAAAAUAAGUGAAUCAUGCUUAGAGUCAAGUUAUUCUGCCUGUCAUAUUGCAUUUCACUCACUGAUGCUGCAAUCCUUGUUAGUUUCCCUGUAAUUCACAUGUCUGCGCGCAUUUAAGAGUUAUUGAUUGUUAAUCUAACUCUAACAUACACAUCAACCUAGUGAGUUUGUUGAUUAAUGGCAUCCCUGAUUUGCAUAUUGAGAUCAUUUCCUCCAUGAAAGAUAUUCUUGCAUGUUUCAGUCCGUUAGCCUUUUUGUUUGAAAACACAUGGCAUUUGGUGCUUUGCUUCUUUUGUUAACUAGAAGAUCGAUCGCAUAACUAAGGUCUAGGAUGAUUAUUUCAUUGCUCCCGAGUUUAUUUUGUUGGCUUAUUUGAGUUGAACCUGGAUAAUUGACAAAGUUGGAAUAUCUGCGAUUGUGAUUUAAUGUUGAAUCGCAUUGAGUGUAAUCAGAUUACUAAUGUUUAGAUUCAUUCAUAUCUGGUGAUUUCUUAUUGAUGUGUCUAUGUGCAUGCAACUUCACUUGUAAACAACAGAAGGUUAGUUUUCAUGUUUUGUGGAGACCAUAUUUGAACCAAGGAAUUAGAAGCCCUGUUGUUGCCCUUUGCAUAACUCAGGUGAUGGUGAUUCCGAAUGCAUUGGACUGCAAAGUCCUUCUAUUAAGAUAAUAGAUCAGAUCUCCAUUUAAAGGACCUAUACAUAUGUAGUUUUAGUGCAUUGAACAUGAAUUGUUUCUCUCAUUUUCUUUGUAGGAAGUUUACGCUUUGGUGAGGCCUAAGGUGUAUAUUUUAAUGUGCUUGUCUGCAUGUGAUGUCCUAGAAUAUUUUAAUGUGCUUGUCUGCUUGUGAUAUCCCAGAUGGUCGAAGGGUUUUAUCAAUUGCCCUUUCACGUUGGUUUGUUCCAAUAGAAAACCAUGUACUUAUGUUCUGUUGAUGAGUCGACGUCAUGCCGGUGUUACAUAAGUUUCAAUUGAAUUUAAGAUAGGGUCCUUCAUUUAAAUGGUGUUAGUUAGGGUGCUGUGAGUGAGAUCAACAAGACAUAGGUGGCUCUUAUCAUAUUUCAAGCAUACCAAUUCUUCUUUAUUCUAUUUUGUUACUAUCUUCUUUAUUAGUUUAUUGCCUCAGUGUUUGUGUGUCUUUCUGUAUUAUUUGGCCUUAUGGAAUUUGUUCAGUUGAAUGAUUGUUGGGAUGUGGGGGUAGGGAGAGGCCGAAGCACAUUAGCAAUUAAUUUAUUUCCCUGCUUUAGGUAACCGACUCGGCCUAAUAAAAUGAAAAGUUAAAAACAAAACAUGAGCAUGAAUCGAAUUGUUACUUUUACUCAGUUCUUUUUAUUUUUUUUAUUGAUGAUAUCAUUCGUUAGGAGCAUGUCUAGGCCGACUACACCUUGGUUAGGCAAGCCUUGGGAUUUUUAUUAGUUUUGAGGUGAGAGGUCAUUCCCUUAGUUAAUUUGUCCGGGGAAUGCCCCGAGGAAUUUGUAUAUAUUUUAUUAUUUCAGGGGUAUGCCUCGAAGUGAAUGUAAAUGGAAGCCAAAAUUAGAAACUUGUAGUAUUUUUAUUUUAUAUUUAUUUUUCUUUUAUUUAGGUGGGGAUGACCUCGAGCCUCUUGUGUGUUUAUUUUUCUUUUUCUGUGUUUUCUACCUCAAUUGAUUAUUUUAAAAGCCAAUUUGAUCAUGUACGCAACCGUGACUUUCACGGGACUUGGGGAGUGCCUAACACCUUCUCCCCGAGUCAAAUAAACCCCCUUACCCGAAUCUCUGGUGCAGACUUAAUUUUAGAGUCUCAAGUGUUUUUAAAGGAAAAAAUCAUUUUUAGAAAAACGGUGACCUAACACACCGAAAUCAAAUGUCUGGUGGCGACUCUGAGUUAAUCCUUUUGAACACAAAUUUUUGUCACUUUCUAAUUUAAAAUCCUUUUCAAGCUUUACUAAAAUCUUUUUUAUUAAUUUAAGAGGGUUAGUAAGGGUUGUUUAAAGAGGAGUGUGACAGCUCUGGCGACUCUGCUGAGGACUUGCAGGUUCGAGCUAAUACUUGAUCUUGUUGGCUUUGAGGAUAUUCGGUUGAGGUUUUUAUGUGUUUUAUUUGCUUUAUUCGAGUUUAUUUUGUUUAUGUCGUUUUAUUUUCUAGUUGCUUAUUUGUUUACAAUAUUUUCUUUACGUGAAACUGCUUUAUAAAUUAUCAUCAUUUGCAUGACCCCCGAGUCUUCUUUCUGCAACAAGUCUUCCGGAGUACGUUUGAGCGUACACGGCCUUUUUGUGAGUCACCCGUGUCAUUAGGGGUGUAGCGUGGGAGCGUGGAGUGGGCGGACAGCUAGAGCAGCCGCCAUCGACCACGUGCCGCCCCGAAUUUCCUUGUCUAGUGAACCCCAACAGUAGGUCAACCUUUAGGUCAUACUUAUGUGCAUCAUAUCAUUUAAACCUAGCAGGGUUCGGUCUCAGGCACCGUGUCCCGUUGUAGGAGGCCUAUCCAAAUUAUGUUAAAAUGGGCUCAUGGCCCAAAAAGACAUUUAAUCAUCCCUAUGUGCUACAUGUUGCAUCUCUUUAGGGGUAAAAGGGUUAUUUGGCGGACCAAGGAUAUUUGAGUGUGAAAUAUAAAAUGAAGUAGGUGAUUUUACACUUUCCCAUUAUUUUCCAAAAAUGAAAAAGAAAAUCCAAAAAAAGAUUUUACACUUUUCCAUUAUUUUUCAAAAAAGACAAAAAAAAAUUGAAAAUAGAAAAUCCAAAAAAGAUUUUACACUUUUCCAUUAUUUUCCAAAAAUGACCAAAAAAAAUUAAAAAUAGAAAAUCCAAAAGAUUUUACACUUUUCCAAAAAACAAAUUCAAAAAAAGGAGAAAAAGAAAAUUCAAAAAGAUUUUACAUCUUUUAUCAUUUUCCAAAAAUUCAAAAAAAGAAGAGGAAAUCCAAAAGAUUUUACAUUUUCCAUCAUUUCUCAAAAGACAAAAAUAUGGUUUUCCAAAUUAGUUGCAUUUUUUUUAAAGGCUUUCUCCCAUGUCCAAUCUUCCGAACUACGCGAACCUGAUUCUCGUCUUUCGAGACGUGAUACGUAGGCAACCCACACAGGGUCUGAUCUUCCUAGUGUCUUAGGUUCUUGUCUUUGCGGGGUCUUAGCCAUAUCUUGUAUUUCUAGCAACUUUCGGCCACAUCGGCCAUUCUUGCAAAUUGGGGUCAUUUUCGCAAAAGUGGUUCAAUAUCCCAUGUCUUAGGAUCUUUAGUACAUAACUAGGUGUCAUAUUAUUUUAAGGUCCGUCCUUUUCAAGUUUGCAUCUUCAGCCACUUCUGGCCAUAUCAACCAUUUUUGUAAAACGGGUCAUUUCUGCAAAUUAAUUUUGGGCCAUGAUUGUUAAGAGUUAGAAUUCAUAUAAGCUUUAGUGAGGUAUUCCCAUGUCUUUGAGGUCACCUUUCUUGAGUUUGCAUUUUAGCCUCUUUUGGACCCUCAGGCCAUUUUGCAGAAAUAGCCCAACCGUCCCCUAGGAAAUUUUGUGGCGUCACAUAAUGUCUUGAGUCAUUAACCAUGUUUUUCCCAUACAGGUAUGGAUUCACUCACCAAUGCUAGAUUAUCAAUGGUGGUCAAAGUCCCUAGAAGGCUAGUAAAAUGGUGGAACAUGUUCACAUUACUUGAGCAGCGUGAUUUGAUGGGUAAAUUAGGGACUCUUAUUUUUUUGAUGGACAUCACUCCCCGUCCCGACCUUGUAGAAGCAAUGUUGAUAUUUUGGGACCCACAGGGAAUGGUAUUCAAGUUUGGGGAUCUUGAGAUGACACCCACCUUAGUUGAGAUAGCCGGAUUAACCCGCCUGCCAUACCUAGACAAGGAUUUGAUUUAUCCAAGGGCUCAUUCAAGCACCAAGUUCCUUAAGAUCAUAGGGAUGGAUUUGAAAACUCACAUGGGAUGUCUAUAUCAAUCUUGGGUACCUUUGGACUUUUUAUUCGAGAGGUUUGCUCGUCCUACUGGGUAUGAGACCUUCGUAGAUGAAUUUUCCAUAUCAUAUGAUUCUUGGAAGAAGAGGCAUCCUAUGGUCUUCAUUAUUGCAUUGCUGGGUCUCUUGGUAUUUCCUUUGGAGGGUAGACAUAUUAGCACGCGUCUGGGGUCAAUAGCCUUUGCACUCUUCCAUGAUAAACACAGUAGUAAGGUCACCGUGGUUACGACAAUUUUGGCAGAGAUCUAUCGUGUUUCGACCAGGAUUCGAGAAGGUGGGAGGUUCUUUGAGGGAAGCAACUUGUUGCUACAGCUGUGGAUGAUGGAACACUUACAUCCCGCCACCAUGUUUGAGAAAGAUGUGAUUGACCGUUGUCUGAGAGAUCGAGUGAAGUGCAUUGAGCAUAGGAUGACGUUCGAUAAGUUUGCCUUACCACUCGGAGUUCAGGAUUGGGUUGAUUAUUUAGGAUCCUUGACUGAAGAGAAGAUUUUGUGGUCAUACCUAUGGAUUGAUUUGGACGUGAUCUUAGCAGGAUCUCGCGUGCAAGACUUCUUUGUACUGAUUGGACUUUGGUGUACUAGACCAUAUACCCUUGCUAGAGUGAUGCGUCAGUUAGGGAGGCAGCAAGAAGUCCCCUACAUUCCUGAUUCUCGUGACUUCAUUAGUGAAUUUGACACUAUGACGCAUAGGGAGGUCGACAUCCAGCCCUAUUGGCGUCAUGCAAUGAAGAUGGGUAGGGAUACUUUAGCUGCUGACCCACAUUCACCUGAGUAUACCCAUGAGUACUUCAUAUGUCUACAGUCUACUCAACGAGGGGUUGGCAGGCCAUUGCCCCGACGUGUUAGAGGAGUAUUUGAUGAGGAGGCCAUCCCAUGGAUAUUGCUUAGAUAGUUGAUGGAUCGAUUUACCCAGGCAGAGGAGGCCCAUGCAGCAGAAAGGGUUGGGGUUCGAGGUACACUUCAGUCACUGAGAUCACAGUUGGCAGGGUUGGUAGAGAACAUGGGACAGCACCGUGAGUACCUUACUAGAGUCAGCCUUCCAGAUGCAGGCGCGCAUUCUAGGAUUCUCAUUCCUAGCUUCGAGGUGUCCUUGCAGGGUAUAAUACAGAGCUUAGAUUCGACAGGAUUGACGGGGCCAUCCGGAUCUUCAUCGGACCCGUCCCAGCCAGGACAGUCGCAUUCAGGAGCAGCUUGAGGAGUCAUUCUAUUUAGAUGUUUUGAGAUUGUCUUAUGUUGUCUUUUACUUUCGUGUCUUGUCUAGGAGUACUGAGUCUUUUAGGUAGUGUCAGAGUCUGUCAUAGUGUAGUUGAAACUGUCAUGUCUUUCAUUAUCGUGCUUCUCUUUGUAUUUUAAUAUCGAAAAUUUUUAAACAAAAAAUCCCAAAAAGAUCUUGUUUUUAGUUUAUUUUGCAUCACUUUUCCAGAACUACGCUUGGUCUGAUUCAUGAGGAACAUGAUACGUAGGUAACCUACAUCGGGUUCGAUCAAAUCAUUUUUGGUUCAAAAAAAAAGAAAAAAAGAAGAGAGAGAGAGAGAGAAGAGAUAAAAGAGAAAAAAAUGAUAAGAGGUGUUGGAAAAGAAAGAGAAGGAAGGAUCAAAAUGAGCAAAUCGGGAUGAUGCCCUAUGACCCUGCGACCCUCAAAGCCAUUUUAGAACUGUUAAUUGUUGCUAGAUGCAUUGCACGUAAUGUGAUAUUAUUAUUUGAUAAAUGCCCUAACGCUAACAUGGUGGUUUUGUGUUGUUGACCUCUGUUAUCUUUAUUUAAUAACAUGAAGGUGGUUAUUUUGUUGGCAUCCUGGCAAGUCAUCCAUACAACACACGAUCAAAGCGUCAAACAUUCAUGGCUAGAAAGGAAACAGACACUGGAGUUGUAGACCCACCAAGGGAGAUUGUUGAGUCGGAAUCGGAAUUGCAAGAGGAGGUCCGGAGGUUGAAGCACCAGAUGGCGGAAAUGUAUCAUGCCUGGAUUAAGGUACACCCUCCACCCUCGUUCCCUACCAACUACACAGAAAACCUUGCUUCCAUUCCACCACUCUCUCAAUCCCAGAUGCCUAAUACCAUUGAUCUUUCCCCACAACAUGCACCUGGCUUUACCCCUUACCACAACUACCCCAACACUUCGGCCCAAACUUUUCAUGCUCCACCAGCCAAAACAACCUCGUACCUUGCUCCGACAUUUGCUCCUAUUUUUGUACCCCCUCCACAAGCUACCCUCCAACGAUCCUCUAGUGAGCCUGCAUUCCCAGCUCCAGAUACCCAAUAUUAUGCCCCGGAACCCACAUUCAAAGUCCCAGAUCCUUACUCCUACACUCCCCACUUUGAGCCUCAUGUUGAAACUGAAAACCACCCAAGAACGCAGAGCAGGAGGAGAUGUUUAGGAAGGUAAAGAGUAUGGAGCAAUCCUUGAGAAAUAUGCAAGGGUUGGGAAACCAGGUGAGUGUGGCCUAUAAGGAUUUGUGUUUGUUCCCUGAUGUCCAACUGCAUGUCGGGUUCAAGAUGCCUAAGUUUGACUUGUAUGACGGACAUGGGUAUCCUGUAGCUCAUCUGAGGGGUUAUUGCAGUAAAAUGAGAGGCGCCGGGGGAAAAGACGAAUUACUGAUGGCAUAUUUUAGCCAGAGUCUGAGUGGGGAAGCUUUAGAAUGGUACACCCGCCAGGACGCUAGCAGGUGGUACACUUGGGACGAUAUGGCUCAGGCCUUUGCCCGACACUUUCAGUACAAUAUAGACAUUUUCCCAGACCGUAUAUCUUUGACAAAGGUGGAAAAGAAACCCAGUGAAAGCUUUAGAGAAUAUGGGUUCCGAUGGAGGGAGUAAGCUGCACGAGUCAAUCCUCUGAUGGAAGAAAACGAGAUGGUUGAAUACUUUCUUCAAGCCCUGGAGACCACUUACUAUGGUCACUUGAUCUCAGCCAUUGGUAAAUCUUUCAAUGAUGUGGUAAAAUGGAAGAAAUAGUGGAAGAGGGGCUCAAGUCGAGCAAGAUCAUGAGCUAUUCUGCUAUAAAAGCAACCACCCAGGAGUAUAAAAGAGAGAGGCAACAACGGAAACAAACCUUUACCCCGCUUGGAGAGUCCUAUGCUAGUCUAUUUCAAAGGUUAAGGCAGUUAGACGUCUUGAGGCCGAUUGAGUCAAAGAUACCAAAUCCCCCUCUAAAGAACCUCGAUUAUUCCCUAAGAUGCACCUAUUGUUCUGAUGCUCCAGGUCAUGACAUAGAGAAAUGCUGGCAUUUUAAAAGGGAAAUCCAGGAGCUCAUUGAUACAAACCAAAUUGUAGUCCAAAGUCCAGACACAUCGAACAUCAACCAAAACCCUUUGCCAGCCCAUGCAGAGACGUAUAUGAUUGAAAUAGUUCACAAAGAUAGGGAGCCCAAGAACUCUUCUAAGUCCGUCAUGAUGAUUUGGUCCAGUGAAAGUAAUUUGGUUAAAGCUCCAGACUUUACCAAAGCAAAGCCCUUGACAGUUGAAGGGGCGACAAAAAAGUCAAGAUUGCUCAAUUUGAAGCCACCAGUGUUGGUUGUGAAAGGGCCUUCGAAAGAUAUUGGGGCAAGUCCGAAAAGCUCAAAAGUAGUAGUGUUAGGGAUUCCAAGUAAGCCUAUCAUAGUUGUGAAGGGGGAUCCUAUUACCCGUAUACUCAUUAAACCAAUAACCCAGCUGCCAGUGGUUGAUGCCAAGGCUAUUCAGUAGAAUUACAAACAAGUGAUAGUGACAUACAAAGGAAAAGAAAUAGAGGAAGAAGUUAAUGAAACUGGAGGAUUGACUCAUUUUGGGAGAUGCUUCACCCUAGAAGAAUUAAGGAAAGCCAAGCCAUUCAAAGAUAGCCAAAUGCUAGUAAAGAAAUCGGUCACCGAGGAAGAGGCUGAGAAGUUCCUAAAAAGAUGAAAGUGUAGGAUUAUUCCAUUGUAGAGCAAUUAAGGAAAACACCAGCUCAAAUUUCUCUUUUUCUUUGCUGAUACAUUCAGAUAAACAUCGCAGGGUCUUGAUGAAGAUUUUGAAUGAGGGACAUAUCCUUGAUAAGAUCACAGUGAAUCACUUGGAAAAGAUAUCUAGCAAGAUCUUCGAAGUAAACAGGAUCACUUUCUCAGAUGAUGAACUUCCUAUAGAGGGUACAGAACACAACCGAGCUCUUUAUCUCACGGUGAAGUGCGAAGAUUCUGUUGUCUCAAGGGUUUUGGUUGAUAAUGGCUCUAGUACGAAUAUUUGUCCCCUGUCUACUCUGCAAAAACUAAAGAUUGGCACCAAAAGAAUCCACUUGAACAGUGUGUGUGUUCGAGGCUUUUAUGGGGGAGGUAAAGAUUCUAUUGGAGAUAUAAUGCUCAAAUUGUCGAUAGGGCUAGUUGAGUUUACCAUGGAAUUCCAAGUGUUAGAUGUGACUAUCUCCUACAAUCUGUUGUUGGGCAGGCCCUGGAUACAUGCUGCUAAGGCAGUCCCGUCUUCUCUACACCAAAUGGUGAAGUUCGAAUGGGACAGGUAGGAAAUAGUUAUGCACGGUGAUGAGGACUUGUUAGCUUGUAAUGACACAAUUGUUCCGUUUAUUGAAGCUGAAUAUGAUAAGGGACCUUGGGUCUAUCAAACUUUCGAAACAGUGUCUGUUGAGAAAAUUCUCGAAGGAAAAUGCAUUCGGGGUCCUAAGCUAUCCUCCGCGUCCGUCAUGGUUACGGAUGAAAUGUUGAAGAAUGGUUUUAUGUCGGGCAAGGGUCUGAGCUCAUCUUUGCAGGGUAUUAUGCAUCCAGUGCGCCCUAGUGGGAAUCCUGGUACGUUUUGUUUGGGAUUCACACCCACAGAGAAGGACGUGAAAAGGGUUAAAAAUGUGAAACAAAAGGUAUGGUCGCUCCCCAAGCCCGUCCCACACAUCUCUAAGUCUUUUGUCAAGCCAAGGGCCGAAAAACCUCCAACCUCCUCAAUCCUAAAACCUGUGGUCGAUGUUGAUGAAGAGCUGAUCAAGAGGUUCCAAAGUUUGUUCGAAGAGGUCAAUAUGGUAGAAGUUGGUGAAGGCUCUAGUAUAUGAGAUGUGCAGCUCAUUGAACCAAACGUGAAGCUUGGCAAUUGGGAAGUUACUCCUCUCCCCACCAGGAAGGAGUUUUGGUAGUUUGCUUUGUUUUCUUUUCUGUUAUCUAGGUUAUUCUAGGGUUGUAAUACAGAUUUUUAGUUUUUGCUUGUUUUGAUGUUCAAACCCUUCUAUCCUUUUAUUUUCAAUGAAAUGCAAUUUCCUGUUUUUCGUUAUUCUUAAUAGUGUUUUAUUUUGUACAGUUCUUUUUUUGCUGGUUGUAGUGACAUGAUAUGCAUGAAGAAUUUUCAUCCGAGUCUUAAAAGCCAAUCUAAUUCUGAAAUAACAAUCCAAGAAGUGGAAUAUGAUGAUGAAAUAGAAUAUGAUGAAGAAGUAGCAUUUGAGGAAAUAAGUAAAAAAUAACAAUCCAAGAAGUAGAAUAUGAUGAUGAAAUAGAAUAUGAUGAAGAAGUAGCAUUUGAGGAAAUAAGUAAAGAGCUGAAACAAUUUGAAGAAAAACCGAAGACUAAUUUGAGUGAAACUGAAUUAAUCAAUUUAGAGGACCAGGAUGAUGUUAGGGAAACCAAGAUAAGUGUGCAUUUAGAACCACAAGUUAAGGAGGAAAUAAUCAAAAUAUUGUUUGAGUACAAAGAUGACUUUGCAUGGUCAUAUGACGAUAUGCCAGGCCUGAGCACUGAUCUGGUAGUUCAUAAAUUGCCAACUAAUCCAGCAUUCCCUCCUGUCAAGCAAAAGUUGCAAAAGUUCAAGACUGAUAUGAGUGUGAAGAUCAAAGAAGAAAUCACAAAGCAACUUACUGCAAAGGUCAUUCGGGUCACUCGAUAUCCCACUUGGUUAGCCAAUGUUGUUCCAGUACCAAAGAAGGAUGGUAAAACUAGGGUUUGUGUUGAUUACCAUGAUAUUAACAAAGCAAGCCCAAAAAAUGAUUUUCCAUUGCCGAACAUUCACAUUCUGAUCGAUAAUUAUGCCAAGCAUGAGAUUGGGUAUUUUGUGGAUUGUUACGCCGGAUCACCAGAUCUUGAUGGAUGAGGAAGAUGCAGAAAAGACAACGUUCAUCACGCCAUGGGGAACAUAUUGUUAUCGGGUAAUGCCAUUUGGUUUGAAGAAUGCUGGGGAAACGUACAUGAGGGCGAUGGCCACCAUAUUUCAUGAAAUGAUACACAGGGAGAUUGAGGUUUAAUGUAGAUGAUGUGAUCAUAAAGUCAAAGAAGCAGUCUGACCAUGUUAAGGACUUGAGGAAUUUUUUCCAAAGACUCCGCAGGUACAACCUUAAGCUCAAUCCAGCAAAAUGUGCAUUUGGUGUCCUGUCGGGGAAGCUGCUAGGAUUUGUGGUUAGUAGAUGUGGCAUUGAGUUAGAUCCAUCGAAGAUCAAAGCCAUUCAAGAGUUACCACCGCCAAAGAACAAAAUAGAGGUGAUGAGUUUGCUUGGAAGGUUAAUUACAUCAGCAGGUUUAUUGCUCAACUUACGACAACCUGUGAGCCCAUCUUUAAGCUGCUGAAGAAGAAUGCUGCAGUCAAGUGGACUGACGAGUGUCAAGAAGCAUUUGAUAAGAUCAAGAGAAACCUGUCAAAUCCACCUGUACUGGUCCCACCAGAGCCUAGAAGACCUUUAAUUCUCUAUUUGACAAUCUUGGAUAAUUCUUUUGGCUAUGUAUUGGGUCAACAUGACAUCACGGGAAAGAAGGAGCAAGCAAUCUAUUAUCUCAGUAAGAAGUUCACUCCCUAUGAGGUUAAGUACACUCUGCUUGAGAGGACAUGUUGCACCCUGACUUGGGUGGCACAAAAGUUGAAGCAUUAUCUGUCGUCCUACACUACUUACCUCAUUUCUCGCAUGGAUCCUCUAAAUUAUAUCUUUUAGAAGCCUAUACCCACGGGAAGACUGGCAAAGUGGCAGAUUUUACUUACAGAGUUUGACAUCAUCUAUGUGACUCGGACCGCGAUGAAAGCCCAAGCCUUGGCCGACCAUUUGGCCGAGAAUCUGGUGGAUGAUGAAUAUGAGCCACUGAAGACUUAUUUUCCUGAUGAAGAGGUCAUGUGUGUUGACGAGGUUGACCACGAUGAAAAGCCAGGUUGGAAACUCUUCUUUGAUGGAGUUGCUAACAUGAAAGGUGUCGGAAUAGGGGCAGUACUUAUCUCUGAAAUAGGGCAACACUACCCUGUAAUAGCCCAACUUCAAUUUUAUUGCACCAACAACAUGGCUGAGUAUGAAGCAUGCAUUCUGGGUUUGAGGUUAGCUAUAGACAUGGGAGUCCAGGAAAUACUUGUUUUGGGAGAUUCAGAUUUGUUGGUUCACCAGAUUCAAGGAGAAUGGGAGACUCGAGAUUUGAAGCUCAUAUCGUACUGACAGUGCCUGCAUGAUCUUUGUCAACGAUUCAAGUCGGUUGAAUUUAAACAUAUUCCCAGGAUUCAUAAUGAGAUUGCUGAUGCCUUGGCUACUCUGGCGUCAAUGUUACAUCAUCCGGACAAGGCUUUUGUCGACCCCGUGCAUAUCCAAGUUUAUGAUCAACAUGCUUAUUGUAAUGUGGUGGAAGAGGAAAUCAAUGGCGAACCUUGGUUCCAUGAUAUCAAGGAAUACAUCAAGUCGAGGAUAUAUCCAGUACAUGCUUCAGGUGACCAAAAGAGAACCAUUCAACGUCUGGCUAGUGGAUUUUUCUUGAGUGGAGGAAUCUUAUACAAGAGGACUCCGGAUUUAGGACUGCUGAGGUGCAUAGAUGCUAAAGAAGCUUCAACUAUCAUGGCCGAAGUGCAUUCUGGAGUUUGCGGGCUGCAUAUGAACGGGUAUGUCUUGGAAAAGAAGAUACUUCGAGUAGAUUAUUAUUGGCUCACCAUGGAGCGGGAUUGUAUCAAUUUUGUUCGCAAGUGUUAUCAAUGCCAGGUACACGGUGAUUUGAUUCAUUCUCCCCCAUCUGAGUUACACACAAUGUCUGUACCUUGGCCCUUUGUUACUUGGGGCGUGGAUGUUAUUGGACCAAUUGAGCUAGCAUCGUCAAACGGGCAUAGGUUUAUUCUGGUGGCCAUUGAUUAUUUUACCAAGUGGGUCGAAGCUGUAACUUUCAAGUCCGUGACCAAGAAGGCAGUGGUAGAUUUUGUUCAUUCAAAUAUCAUUUAUCGGUUCGGAAUUCCCAAGGUGAUCAUCAUAGACAAUGCUGCUAAUCUCAACAGUCAUUUUAUGAAAGAGGUAUGCUAACAGUUCAAGAUCAUGCUUCGGAACCCCACUCCGUAUCGCCCCAAGGCAAAUGGAGCUGUUGAGGCUGCCAACAAGAACAUAAAGAAGAUACUUCAUAAGAUGGUUCAAGGUUGUAGGUAGUGGCAUGAAAAGAUGCCUUUUGCUUUACUAGGUUAUCGCACUGUUGUUCGCACUUCAGUAGGUACAACUCCUUAUUUGCUAGUAUAUGGAACUGAGGUAGUUAUUCCUACAGAAGUUGAGAUUCCAUCCCUUCGGAUCGUUGCAGAAGCUGAAAUUAAUGAUGAUGAGUGGGUCAAAACCCGGCUAGAGCAGUUGAGUUUGAUUGAUGAGAAAAAAUUGGUUGCAGUAUGUCAUGGUUAAUUGUAUCAGAAGAGAAUGACAAGCGCAUAUAACAAAAAGGUGCAUCCUCGGAAAUUCGAAGUGGGCCAGAUGGUAUUGAAACGCAUCCUUCCUCAUCAGGCUGAAGCUAAAGGCAAGUUUGCCCCAAACUGGCAGGGGUCGUUCAUAGUGACAAGAGUGUUGCCCAAUGGUGCUUUGUAUUUAAUAGACAUAGAAGGCAAAUGUGUAGAUAUGUCUAUCAAUUCUGAUGCGGUCAAGAGGUACUAUGUAUGAGUCCUUUGCUUAUUUUCAGUCGCAUUUUCUACUUGGCAUGUUCAAGGUUGAAAUGAUGAAGGCAUUUUAUUCUGCUAUCCAAACACUUUUAUCCUUUGUUAUCCCUUUUGAGCCUUAUUUAUUUUCUUUCAUACCCCUAUUUUGGAAUCAGUAACAGAAUUAGAGAAUAAAAAAACUGAAUGAAUGAAUGAAAAAAAAGAAGAAAAAAAGAGAAAAGCAAGAAAAAAAAAAGAGAAAAAAGAAAGAAGAGAAAAAAAGAAAAAAAAGAAGAAAAAAGAAAAAAGAAAAGAAAAGAAAAGAAAAGCAACAAAAACAAACAACAUCCUUUUGAACUACGUUCGACCUAAUUCCUUUUAAGGAUACGUAGGCAACUUUACGGUUCGGUCCCAUCAAAAUAAAAAGUAAAAUUCCCUAUACCCAAAGAAACUGGGGCAGAAGUUUUGGUUUUGAAAAGAUCCGAUUCCAAAAGUUGUAAUUUUGACCCUUUUUCAUCUCAAAUUAUUUUGAGCCUUCAUGCCACCAUUUCUUUCUAACCCUGUCCAAAAGCUUCCAUUACGGUCGAAAGAAAGACCUUCCGAUCAAUCUUUGAGGAUGCCAGGUCAAGCGAGAUAGAGGUAUGAUUUAUAUCAUGGGUAACACUUUGUUCAUGGGCACAAGAGAGAAUUUAAAAUGAGAGAGUCUUAUUGGUGAAAACCCUCACGGGCACCGUAAGACGAUGGUGAGCUGAGAGAAAAUUUAAAAUGAGAGAGUCUUAUUGGUGAAAACCCUCACGGGCACCGUAAGGCGAUGGUGAGCUAAGAAAAAAUUUAAAAUGAGAGAGUCUUAUUGUUGAAAACCCUCGCGGGCAUCGUAGGGCGAUGGUGAGUUGAGAGAUGAACAAAGAAGAGAAGUUUGUGGGUGAAAACCCUUCGAGGCACUACAAAUCGAGUGAGGCUCAUGACUCUACAGAGAAAUUGGAUCAGUAAAAACCCAGUUUGUGAAGUAUGAAGACAUGACAUGAACUGAACUAUGAUUGGUUGGAAAAUUAGGCUGAUCAAUCCGAAAUGCAUGUCAUGGUCAUUAAAGCCAGCCGCUUCACUCAGAUAAGUCUUCUUUUCCCAUUCUUCUUCACAUAGUCGUCUGUGUUCAAAAUUUUCCUUUGUUCCUUUUGCCAAAAAUCAUCUCACUUUGCUCUUUGAGUCUAUCGUUAUGAGUCUCUUUCGAGUUAGCCUUGUUGAACAAGCAGGAAAGGUUUCCAAAGCCUACUACCAGCUUCUAAAUUGCACAAAGCGGAGUUCGGCCAGGCACAUCACAAGUGACUUAAUUUAGAAUAAGCAGUAUGGUGCUAACUGAGGUUCAGACAAUCAUUUGAAUCUUAAAUUUUGAGAAAAUACAAGGACUCAACAACUUUCAGAAUGAAAACUCAAUGCAACAAGUGAGUGUAAGAGAUUCAGAUCAUUUAGAGGUUUUGUGGUCCAUUUCCAAUCAAAAGGUCAAAAAAUUCCUUGCUGGCUCGAAGCAGCUGAUCAGAAUGAAGCAUGGCAGUGGCAGAAGCAGACGCUCAGCAAUGAUGCCACAAAUUAACCACCACGUUUUCCAACUAACAAGAUUUUAUUUGUCUGAAACAGGGGCAAGAAAAUUUUUUAAUCCACAAGGACCCUCCCACGAAGAAGGCAUGGUUCAGGGGCAAGAAAUUCUGUUAAGAAUACUCCAAGACGAGAGCAUGGCUCAGGUAAGUUCAUUCUCAAUUUUCAGGACCCUCCUGGAUAAUGAGAUUUAAUUUAAAAUUCUCAGGACCCUCCUGGAUAAUGGAAUUUAAUUUUAAAAUUUUCAAAACCCUCCUGGAUAAUGGGUUAAUUUUUAAAAGUUCUCAGGAUCCUCCUAGAUAAUGGGAGUCAAUUUAAAAUUUUCAGGACCCUCCUGGAUAAUGGGAUUUAACUUUAAAAGUUCUCAGGACCCUCCUGGAUAAUGAGAUUUAAUUUAAAACUUUCAGGACUUUCCUGGAUAGUGGGAUCUAGUUAGGUUUCAAAACCUUUAUAGAUAACAAGAUUUAACGUAAGUUCUAUCUGUAGGAAAUAUAACUUAGCUUUAAAGUUAUCACUCUUAAGAUGAUAUUUAAUUUGAAGUUUUCAAGGACCUCCUGGAUAAUGGGAUUUAGCUUUUAAAUUCUUAGAGCUCUUUAGAUAACAUGAUUCGAUUAACACUCACAGAUGUGCCCAGACUCCAAACUGGGACAGAAAAUUUCUUUUGUUUUGUUUGUUUUGUUGUAAUGGCAGGCGCCCACCUGGAUAACGAGGGAAUACAAUUUAAGUUUUAUCAAUCAGGCUCCCACUUGGAUAACAAAGGAAUACAAUUCAAGUUUUAGCAGUCAGGCGCCCACCUAGAGAACGAGGGAAUUCGUUUCUCAAUUUAUUUUCAAGUUCACGUCAUUGGCAGGCAUCCACCUGGAGAAUGAGGGAAUUCAUUUCAAGUUUCAAGUUGGUCGUAGGCGCCCACCUAGAGAACGAGGGAAUUCAUUUCAGAGUUACUUCAAUUCGCAAAUUUAAGAAGCAUCGGGAGCCCGCCUGAAGAACAGGCUUCAUUUUUCAGUUUCAUAUUGAAGAUCAAGUAGAGAUCCAAGGAAGAUUCAAGACAAGAAGUAGAUAGGAUCUUGUAUUUUUCUUUUACUUCUACUGUAAUUGUUUCCAUUUAUAUUCGAUGUAAUGGCAGGAACUGCGGACCGGAACCUCGACGGCACUUCACUCGGCUCUCCACAUCGGUAUACUCCAUCGCUCUUCUCACUCCGAACUACACGUGGCUUGAUUCCUUUAUAGCCAAGGAUAUGUAGGCAGCUCAGAUACCACGACUCGGUCACAUUCUCUUUUCUUUAGUUUUUGUCUCUCUAUAUAAGGUCGGGUCAAAAAACAUGUCUUGUUGUUCUUUGUCUGAAAACACUUUGUGUUUCCCGUCAAAGAGGGGCAGCUGUAGACAUGUAAUUUUUGACUCACGCAUUAGAAUCACCUCUAAUAGUUCUAGUAUUUUUAGGAUAUUUAUUCGGGUUUAUUUAUAUAGGAUUUUACAUUAUUACUAAUUUUAACUCUAUUUUUAAAGCACAAAAAAUCAAAAAUACAAAAAUAGUUUCAUGUUUUAUCUUAUUUCUAUUUAGUUUAGUAUUACUAAUUAUUUUUGUAGUCUAAUAUAUUUUUUNNNNNNNNNNNNNNNNNNNNNNNNNNNNNNNNNNNNNNNNNNNNNNNNNNNNNNNNNNNNNNNNNNNNNNNNNNNNNNNNNNNNNNNNNNNNNNNNNNNNNNNNNNNNNNNNNNNNNNNNNNNNNNNNNNNNNNNNNNNNNNNNNNNNNNNNNNNNNNNNNNNNNNNNNNNNNNNNNNNNNNNNNNAUAUAUAUAUAUAUAUAUAUAUAUAUAUAGUGCAUAGUAUGAUAUAUUUUACUUUAAUCAUAAUUAAUUUUAAAUUAUUAUUUUUUUAUAAAGAAAAGGUUGAGUUUUUAAAAUUGAUAGAUUUAAAAGGUUAUAGUCCCAAAUUUUGGCCCAAUUUCGGGUAAGAAGAGGCCCAAAUCUGGGCAGCCCAUCCCUUUCCCUUAACCCGCCAGAGAUCCACCCAAAUGACCCAACCCGCUCCAUCUUCCUGAUUAAAUCUCGACCAUCCAUUCACCAAAUCCAACGGUCCACCUUAUUUCCCCACACCCAAAUACAAACUCAGUUAUAUCACUCCAACCCCUAAACCUAAAGACUAAACCAACCACACCCUCUUCUCCCUCACACCUCCUGCUAUCAUAACCCAACCCAAACCUCACCAUAAACGAACCCUCAUGGUCCCCCCUUCCUCUCCUUUCUCUCUUUCACGUUAUCAAGACCAUAACGACCUCUGUCAGAAGAAGAUAUUCCAUUUUACCCGUUUCUACGCGCUCUUGCUUCCCUUGGUUAGAAUUCGGAUUAAUGGUAGACGUAGGAUUUGAAGACUUUAAAUCCUAGUUUUUCAUUUGUCUUAGAACCAUCCAUAAAGAAGAACAAGAGGGGAUUUUCAUUUGGGGGCAGGGAAUUUUCGGAAUUUAUUGAAGGGCAAAUUCGGGUUUUUGGGGGGAAUUUCUUGUUGAAGAAGGAGAAGCUUCGAGAGGGAGCUAUAUAUUUGGGUCUGGACAGAGAUGGGGGAGGUUUUUAUUUCGGAGAAAAUUAGGAAAAGAAGAAGGGCGAGGGUUUUCUGAUUUUCAUGUUCUUCUUUCCAAUUUUCACUUCAUUGGCGUACAAAAAGCUUAGAGCUCUCUAUUAGUCUUUCUUUUGAUUUUCAAAACAGAAAAUACCAAAAAAAAAUAUCAGCUUCUGAUUUGUUUAACAAGAAAUGGAGUUUAGCUGAGGUCCGUCAACUGCUCGAGAGGUAUUUGUUCGUGGUUCCUACCGCUGCUGUGUCGCUGGUUCGAUUCCUGUUUGUCUGCUACUAUUACUUCAAAUUUCAGUGCCGAGUUCACUUGUAUUCAAUUUCAAACGAACUUAAUUGAAGAAUUUUGCAAUUUCAGGUUCACCUCUCUCCUUCCUAUUCUUGUUAAUGGUCAUUGAAACAUGAUAAAAGCCGUAGGUUUGUCAAAUUUGGACAGUGUUUGAGUCGACUUAGAAAAGGGAUGGGUUGAGGGAUGAUUUGCGCGAACAUGUAUGGGAGUUAUACUUAAAUGUUCUGGAAUGCCUUUUGGCUCGGAUUAUUUGCCUUGUGACCUGAAUGAUUGAUGUCCAAUCGAUUGUGAAAUGGUGCAAUUUAAUAUGUGUUCAUGCUUGUCUCGAUCGCUUUCAUUGAAUACUCGGGCUGCUGGUUUUGUUAUGUGAAUUAGCAUAUGAAAAUAAGUGAAUCAUGCUUAGAGUCAAGUUAUUCUGCCUGUCAUAUUGCAUUUCACUCACUGAUGUUGCAACUUACUGUUAAUUUUGCUCGUCCUUGUUAGUUUCCCUAUAAUUCACAUGUCUGCACGCACUUAAGAGUUAUUGAAUGUUAAUCUGACUCUAACAUACACUUCAACCUAGUGAGUUUGUUGAUUAAUGGCAUCCCUGAUUUGCAUAUUGAGAUCAUUUCCUCCAUGAAAGGUAUUCUUGCAUGUUUCAGUCCAUAACCCUUUUUUUUAAAACACAUGGCAUUUGGUGCUUUGCUUCUUUUGUUAACUAGAAGAUCGAUCGCAUAGCUAAGGUCUAGGAUGAUUAUUUCAUUGCUCCCGAGUUUAUUUUGUUGGCUUAUUUGAGUUGAACCUGGAUAAUUGACAAAGUUGGAAUAUCUGCGAUUGUGAUUUAAUGUUGAAUCGCAUUGAGUGUAAUCAGAUUACUAAUGUUUAGAUUCAUUCAUAUCUGGUGAUUUCUUAUUGAUGUGUCUAUGUGCAUCCAACUUCACUUGUAAACAACAAAAGGUUAGUAUUCAUGUUUUGCGGAGACCGUAUUUGAACCAAGGAAUUAGAAGCCCUGUUGUUGCCCUUUGCAUAACUCAGGUGAUGGUGAUUCCAUAUGCAUUGGACUGCAAAGUCCUUCUGUUAAGAUAAUAGAUUAGAUCUUCAUAUAAAGGACCAAUACAUGUGUAGCUUUAGUGCAUUAAACAUGAAUUGUUUCUCUCAUUUUCUCUGUAGGGAGUUUAUGCUUUGGUGAGGCCUAAGGCGUAUAUUUUAAUGUGCUUGCUUGCAUGUGAUAUCCUAGAAUAUUUUAAUGUGUUUGUCUGCUUGUGAUGUCCCAGAUGGCCGAAUGGUUUUAUCAAUUGCCCUUUCACGUUGGUUUGUUCCAAUAGAAAACCAUGUUCUUAUGUUCUGUUGAUGAGUCGGCGUCAUGCGGGUGUUACAUAAGUUUCAAUUGAAUUUAAGACAGGGUCCUUCAUUUAAAUGGUGUUAGUUGGGGUGCUGUGAGUGAGAUCAACAAGACGUAGGUGGCUCUUAUCAUAUUUCAAGCAUACCAACUCUUCUUUAUUCUAUUUUGUUACUAUCUUCUUUAUUAGUUUAUUGCCUCAGUGUUUGUUUGUCUUUCUGUAUUAUUUGGCCUUAUGGAAUUUGUUCAGUUGAAUGAUUGUUGGGCUGUGGGGGUAGGGAGAUGCCGAAGCCCAUUAGCAAUUAAUUUAUUUCCCUGCUUUAGGUAACCGGCUCGGCCUAAUAAAAUGAAAAGUUAAAAACAAAACAUGAGCAUGAAUCGAAUUGUUUCUUUUACUUAGUUCUUUUGUUUAGUUCUUUUUAUUUUCUUUAUUGAUGAUAUCAUUCGUUAGGAGCAUGUCUAGGCCGACUACAACUUGGUUAGGCAAGCCUUAGGAUUUUUAUUAGUUUCGAGGUGAGAGGUCAUUCCCUUAGUUAAAUUUGUCCGGGGAAUGCCCCGAGGGAUUUGUAUAUAUUUUAUUAUUUCAGGGGUAUGCCUCAAAAUGAAUGUAAAUGGAAGCCAAAAG
This 20138-nucleotide long non-coding RNA is filed under the name Nicotiana tabacum (common tobacco). Its description in RNAcentral is "long non-coding RNA (NTAB_LNC009739)". The record is from RNAcentral. Lineage: Eukaryota; Viridiplantae; Streptophyta; Magnoliopsida; Solanales; Solanaceae.